RNAcentral lists this transfer RNA (68 nucleotides) under Marmota monax (woodchuck). RNAcentral's name for it is "tRNA.Thr". The record is from RNAcentral. Lineage: Eukaryota; Metazoa; Chordata; Mammalia; Rodentia; Sciuridae.
GGAUUGUGGCUCAGUGGUAGAGCACUUGCCUAGUACACACAAGGCCCUGGGUUCAAUCCACAACACCA